Molecule: ribosomal RNA, 236 nt
Filed under: uncultured bacterium
Lineage: Bacteria
Description: partial 16S ribosomal RNA
Rfam family: Bacterial small subunit ribosomal RNA
Source: RNAcentral
CGGGACGGGUGAGUAACGCGUGGGUAACCUGCCUCAUACAGGGGGAUAACAGUUAGAAAUGGCUGCUAAUACCGCAUAAGGCCACAGUACUGCAUGGUACAGUGGUAAAAACUCCGGUGGUAUGAGAUGGACCCGCGUCUGAUUAGGUAGUUGGUGAGGUAACGGCCCACCAAGCCGACGAUCAGUAGCCGACCUGAGAGGGUGACCGGCCACAUUGGGACUGAGACACGGCCCAG